GUCAAGAUGGCCGAGUUGGUCUAAGGCGCCAGUUUCAGGUACUGGUCCGAAAGGGCGUGGGUUCAAAUUCCACUCUUGACA
RNAcentral lists this transfer RNA (81 nucleotides) under Brassica rapa (field mustard). It matches the Rfam family "tRNA". From Rfam's summary of the family: Transfer RNA (tRNA) molecules are approximately 80 nucleotides in length. The record is from Rfam by way of RNAcentral. Lineage: Eukaryota; Viridiplantae; Streptophyta; Magnoliopsida; Brassicales; Brassicaceae. RNAcentral also lists the same sequence under 1 other name.